AAGUUUGAUUCUGGCUCAGAACGAACGCUGGCAGCGUGGAUUAGGCAUGCAAGUCGAACGUGAAGCCGUUGAACAAUCUUUCGGGAGAGUGAUUCGGUGGAAAGUGGCGGAAGGGUGAGUAACGCGUGGGUGAGCUGUCUCGAAGUUGGGGACAACCAGAUGAAAAUCUGGCUAAUACCGAAUGUGGUCUUCUGGCGCAUGUCAGGAUGACUAAAGGUGGGGAUUCUUCGGAACCUGCCGCUUUGAGAGGUGCCCGCGUGCCAUCAGCUUGUUGGUAGGGUAAUGGCCUACCAAGGCUUACGGCUAGCCGGCCUGAGAGGGUGAUCGGCCACACUGGGACUGAGACACUGCCCAGACUCCUACGGGAGGCUGCAGUCGAGGAUCAUUCGCAACGCGCGAAAGCGUGACGAUGCGACGCUGCGUGGGGGAUGAAGGCCUUCGGGUCGUAAACUCCUGUCAUGAGGGAACAGUAUCCCUGUAAUUAAUAGUUGCGGGGCUCGAUGGUACCUCAAGAGGAAGCCACGGCUAACUCUGUGCCAGCAGCCGCGGUAAUACAGAGGUGGCGAGCGUUGUUCGGAUUUACUGAGCGUAAAGGGUGCGUAGGUGGUUUUGUGUGUCGGAUGUGAAAUCCCAUGGCUCAACUGUGGAAUUGCAUUCGAAACUGCGGAACUAGAGUGCAGGAUGGGAGAGCGGAAUUCUUGGUGUAGCGGUGAAAUGCGUUGAUAUCAAGAAGAACACCGGUGGCGAAGGCGGCUCUCUGGAAUGCUACUGACACUGAGGCACGAAAGCUGGGGGAGCGAACAGGAUUAGAUACCCUGGUAGUCCCAGCCGUAAACGGUGCACACUUGGUGUGGGGAGAUUUAACCCUCUCCGUGCCGGAGUUAACGCGUUAAGUGUGCCGCCUGGGGAGUACGGCCGCAAGGCUAAAACUCAAAGAAAUUGACGGGGGCCCGCACAAGCGGAGGAGCAUGUGGCUUAAUUCGAUGCAACGCGAAGAACCUUACCAGGGCUUGACAUGGGGACCCUUCGGGGGUGGUAGCGAAAGUUACCUUUACCAUCACAGGUGCUGCAUGGCUGUCGUCAGUUCGUGCCGUGAGGUGUUGGGUUAAGUCCCGUAACGAACGCAACCCUUGUGGCUAGUUGCCACCGGUGGUGAUGAGCCGCCGAGCACUCUAGCCAGACUGCCCGUACAAGCGGGAGGAAGGUGGGGAUGACGUCAAGUCAGUAUGGCCCUUACGUCCUGGGCUGCACACGUGCUACAAUGGUCGGUACAGUGGGAUGCAAUACCGCGAGGUGGAGCAAAUCCCCAAAGCCGCCCUCAGUUCGGAUUGAAGUCUGCAACUCGACUUCAUGAAGUUGGAUUCGCUAGUAACGGCGCAUCAGCUACGGCGCCGUGAAUACGUUCCCGGGCCUUGUACACACCGCCCGUCACAUCAUGAAAGCCGUCUGCACCCGAAGUCGCUGAGCCAACCAUUUAUGGAGGCAGGUGCCGAAGGUGUGGGUGGUGAUUGGGAUGAAGUCGAAACAAGGUA
RNAcentral lists this ribosomal RNA (1532 nucleotides) under metagenome. Its description in RNAcentral is "bacterial SSU rRNA". It matches the Rfam family "Bacterial small subunit ribosomal RNA". The record is from RNAcentral.